GCCUGCUGUUGUCCAGGAGCGCACGUGCGCGGCGGGGGGGUUGUGAGAGAGUUAUGGACCUGAAGAUUGGAAGUGACCUGGCAAGGGAGAAGAAGGACAAGCAAGAGUGAAAGAGUAGCAAACCCUGAAGUGGUUCCAAGGGUUUACCUUGUGACCACAGAGACCCAUCUCUGCCAGAGAGGAACAAGCAUGCAGAGAAGAAUUCAAUAGCCUGGGUUGUUCCUGGGAUUGGUGAGCUUUAAAAUCUCCUGUGAUGUCAAGAAGAGGAAAGCCUUCACAUCCCAGGUUUGGCCAUCACAUCCCCGAAUUCAGCUGCAUUGGCUGAAUGUUAAAUGGUUUAUGCCCAGCUAGUGGGAAGGUGAAUAAUACGUAAAGGAGCUGGGAUCUACACAUACGUUGGAUGACACAGACAUUGUACUUCAGAGUCUCGAAGCAUUUUGGAGCAUCUGGGCUCACUCCUGGCAUCUCGGAUCUAUUGCCCUGCAGUCCCCUCCGGGCACUGGAGCAGCGUCACGGUACAGACAAGUAGAGCCAGCACAGAGUGCAGCCACUGAGCCGACUGCAUUGCCUACCUAACCUUGAGGUUUAGAGCGAGUCUGGGAAUUUGAGCAAGGGAGAGAGAGAAAGCUUAUGUUCGUUCAUCCCCAAAUUGAAGGCUCAACAGCCGGCUUGAGAAAAAUGAGUUGCCGAAAGCCGAAAUUCUUCAGAGAGAAUUUUCCCAAAGUGACGUUUGACAUUGCCCUGUUUGUUUAUUUUCUUCCUGGCCAAAGGGCCAACUCCAUAUUGUGUCCUAAUUAAACAGGAUAACAAAAUAGAUUUUUGAAAAAGGUGCAUUGCGUGUGCGUAACAUUCUCCUAGCUAAUCUGGAUGCCCAGGGAGUAGCCUUUCUAAACAUUGAGCACUUUACACACAAGAAGAACUACUACUGAGCAACAUUUUGGGAAGUGGUCAGUAGUGCUGAAUCCCCGGGGCAAUCAUCGAAAUAAGCUUUCCAUAUUCUGUCCUCCCAGUGACAUUUUGGUUCAUUAGAUUCUAUCACAAUAAUUUAGAACCUUUGACUGUUCUCCCACUACAAGGCCACAAAGGUUUUUUUCUUUCUUUUUUUUUCAGACUCUAAAUCUUCACACCCGCCAUACCCAUCUACAUAUCUGCUUUUGAAUAGUCGGCCAGAUAGUAGUUCCUUUGCGGGUGUCCUAGUAGGGUGCCUCUCCACUUGCAGAAUUCUAGAUGUCAACUGCCCCGGGCUGUGACCUUGGGCCAUUCCUAUUCCUUUUCUACACUCCCUCCCAGGGCAGCCUCCUCCAGCCCUAGGCUUUAAAUAGCCUCCAUUCACUGAUGUAUAUCUUUAACCCUGACCUCUCACCAGUACUCCAGGCUCGUAUAUCCAGCUGCCUCCAUGACAUCUCUGUUUGCAUAUCUCAAACUUAACAUGUCCAGAGCAGAACUCUUGACUUUCCGUAUUAAAACCGAAACUCCAAAUUUCUUCCUUCAAGUCUUCUUCCUCUUAGAACCAAAACGACUCCUUCUCUCAAACACCACAUUCAUUUUUGCAGGAAAUCCUUCCACUUCUACUUUCAAAACAUAUCCCGAAUCCAAUCUCUUCCUUUAAUUGCUAGCACCCUGAAGUUUCUCCCCUGGGUGACUAACCCGUUCCCUGCUUCCAUUAUCCCCCCUCCAGCCUCAAUUCAGCAACCAGAGAGUUCUUGCAAAACAUGAGUAAGAUGUCGUUAUCCUUGCUCAAAACUCUUGAAUGCUCUGUGCUUCUAAUCACACCACCAUAAAAAUCCAAAGUCUUGGAGUUCCCGUCAUGGCAUGGUGGAAACGAAUCCGGCUAGGAACCAUGAGGCUGUGGGUUCCAUCCCUGGCCUCGCUCAGUGGGUUAAGGAUCCAGCAUUGCCGUCAGCUGUGGUGUAGGUUGCAGACAUGGCUUGGAUCUGGCGUUGCUGUAGCUGUGGUGUAGGCUGGCAGCUUUAUCUCCAAUUCAAUCCCUAACUUGGAAACUUCCCUAUGCCACAGGUGUGGCCCUAAAAAGCAAAAAAAAAAAAAAAA
This 2049-nucleotide long non-coding RNA is filed under the name Sus scrofa (pig). RNAcentral's name for it is "lncRNA (ENSSSCG00035036029.1)". Lineage: Eukaryota; Metazoa; Chordata; Mammalia; Artiodactyla; Suidae. The record is from RNAcentral.